This 25-nucleotide non-coding RNA is filed under the name Cricetulus griseus (Chinese hamster). Lineage: Eukaryota; Metazoa; Chordata; Mammalia; Rodentia; Cricetidae. The record is from RNAcentral.
AGUUCGUACUCGCCUCGUCCAUUUU